This is a ribosomal RNA of 454 nucleotides. It matches the Rfam family "Bacterial small subunit ribosomal RNA", at positions 341 to 792 of the family's 1533-position model.
ACGGAAGGCAGCAGUGAGGAAUAUUGGUCAAUGGAGGCAACUCUGAACCAGCCAUCUCGCGUGAAGGAAUACGGCCCUAUGGGUCUUAAACUUCUUUUAUAGGGGGAUAGAGUGAGCCACGUGUGGCUUUUUGUAGGUACCCUAUGAAUAAGCCACGGCUAACUACGUGCCAGCAGCCGCGGUAAUACGUAGGUGGCAAGCGUUAUCCGGAUUUACUGGGUGUAAAGGGCGCGUAGGCGGGGAUGCAAGUCAGAUGUGAAAUCUAUGGGCUUAACUCAUAAACUGCAUUUGAAACUGUAUCUCUUGAGUGCUGGAGAGGUAGAUGGAAUUCCUUGUGUAGCGGUGAAAUGCGUAGAUAUAAGGAAGAACACCAGUGGCGAAGGCGAUCUACUGGACAGUAACUGACGCUGAGGCGCGAGAGCGUGGGGAGCAAACAGGAUUAGAUACCCUGGUA